CCUACGGGUGGCAGCAGUGGGGAAUAUUGCGCAAUGGGCGAAAGCCUGACGCAGCGACGCCGCGUGAGGGAUGAAGGUCUUCGGAUCGUAAACCUCUGUCAGCAGGGAAGAACGGUCACUGUGCUAAUCAGCAGUGAAUUGACGGUACCUGCAAAGGAAGCACCGGCUAACUCCGUGCCAGCAGCCGCGGUAAUACGGAGGGUGCGAGCGUUAAUCGGAAUUACUGGGCGUAAAGCGCUCGUAGGCGGUAUGUCAAGUCAAGGGUGAAAUCCCCGCGCUCAACGUGGGAACUGCAUUUGAAACUGGCAAACUGGAGUGUGGGAGAGGAUAGUGGAAUUCAAGGUGUAGGAGUGAAAUGCGUAGAUAUCUGGAGGAACAUCAGUGGCGAAGGCGACUAUCUGGCACAUAACUGACGCUGAGGAGCGAAAGCGUGGGUAGCAAACAGGAUUAGAUACCCGAGUAGUC
RNAcentral lists this ribosomal RNA (465 nucleotides) under uncultured bacterium. Its description in RNAcentral is "partial 16S ribosomal RNA". It matches the Rfam family "Bacterial small subunit ribosomal RNA", at positions 338 to 795 of the family's 1533-position model. The record is from RNAcentral.